Galleria mellonella (greater wax moth) is the source of this 1313-nucleotide long non-coding RNA. RefSeq lists it as uncharacterized. The record is from RefSeq and is a predicted model, not a curated record. The transcript is spliced from 3 exons. Lineage: Eukaryota; Metazoa; Arthropoda; Insecta; Lepidoptera; Pyralidae.
GUCUUGUCUAGUGAUAACUUGUCUGUAUCCAUAACCUAGACGAUCUUAUUCAGUCAUAGAAAGAAUAAUUUGCGUCAUUAAGAAAUUGAUGAAGAUAUCGUGACGUUGAUAAUUCUUUUUUUAAAAAAGCCGUAACUCAAUAAGAUCCGGGCUGCAGUCUAGCUUUGUCCCCUGAUCUGUCACCGCUUAAUAAGUAUUUUGGAACAAAAACCAGUACAAUUAUACAAAUUAGUAUAAAACUAUCCUAAAAGAUGACGUUUAUUAAAAUAAUUUUUUUGUGUUAUUGAUUAAGUAGCAUGUAAAAUGUAAAACUUCUAGGUGAACCUUAUUAAAUAAAUAAAUAUAUAAAAUCGAAAGUCAGUUUGUAGAGAGGAUUUGACCAAAUAGUCGUCGGUUCAAAGGUUCUUUUGUUUUAUUAUAUAAUAUCAGGUGCGGGUCAAUUCCUGAAACCUUGACAGUUAAUGAGUCCUAGAAACAUUUUACUAGCAAUAUGAAUGCGACGUGAGAUCGAACGACAAAAUUGCAGCGUGAAUGUUGCUCGUACACAACUAUUUCACCUCCUAUAGCGGUAUUUUUGUUCCGUCGCAGUGCGAGGCUACUGUGCUAUAAAACACCAUUUUGAACAAUAGCCAUAUGAAAAUUGAAAAUUCUCGAGCAACACGCUUCAAAAAGACUAUUGCUUACUCAUUAUUAUGCAUGAUUACAAUUGAAUUGCUUACCAAGUUAAUUUGUAUUCCAAUAGUAAGUACCUAUAGCGUGCAAUGUUCUCAUGGAAUAAUUAGUAUAACUGGAUUUGUGACGCAGAAAAAAGCUGGACAAGACUACAGUUCAUCUAUUUUGUCUCGUUACAACUUCUGCUGUGGUAAACUUUAAUAUUAUCAUAGAUGUUAUCCACAUUUCAUUUAUAUUUGGUAUUCUAACAUUGUGUUAAUGCUUAGUUUGAAUUAAAGCAAUUAGAUUAGCAUAUCUUUAACACAAAAAUCUCCAUCUGGAAACGAGAUUAAAAAGUUAAUAUAGCCAAGAACGCCAUUAUUAUUUUUAUUUACUUCAAAUUAUUAUUAAGGUAAUAAUUUGUCCCUGAAUUGUGCUAUUGAGAUUGAAUUGUAUGUUUUUUAUAAGCUUUGGGGGGCCUGCCUCAGAAAUACGAGUAGUGCUGUAGGAACAAGUACAUACUGCUUGUGGUUUAUUUUUAAAAUCAUUAUCGUAACAUUACAUUAAAUACCUAUGUAUUUUGUAUUAUAUAGAAAAUUAUUUACAAUUUUUUUCUUUUUUAUUGUCAUUAUUUUAAUUGCUAAUUUUUUCUUCUUCAAGUU